RNAcentral lists this ribosomal RNA (724 nucleotides) under uncultured bacterium. RNAcentral describes it as "bacterial SSU rRNA". It matches the Rfam family "Bacterial small subunit ribosomal RNA", at positions 73 to 792 of the family's 1533-position model. The record is from RNAcentral.
GGGAAGCUUGCUUUCCUUGCCGGCGACCGGCGCACGGGUGAGUAACACGUAUGCAACCUGCCCUCUUCAGGGGGACAACCUUCCGAAAGGGAGGCUAAUCCCGCGUAUAUCGGUUUCGGGCAUCCGAGAUCGAGGAAAGAUUCAUCGGAAGAGGAUGGGCAUGCGGCGCAUUAGCUAGACGGCGGGGUAACGGCCCACCGUGGCGACGAUGCGUAGGGGUUCUGAGAGGAAGGUCCCCCACACUGGUACUGAGACACGGACCACACUUAAACGGGAGGCAGCAGUGAGGAAUAUUGGUCAAUGGGAGAGAUCCUGAACCAGCCAAGCCGCGUGAGGGAAGACGGCCCUAUGGGUUGUAAACCUCUUUUGUCGGAGAACAAAACCCGGGACGUGUCCCGGACUGCGUGUAUCCGAAGAAAAAGCGUCGGCUAACUCCGUGCCAGCAGCCGCGGUAAUACGUAGGUGGCAAGCGUUAUCCGGAAUUAUUGGGCGUAAAGAGCGCGCAGGUGGUUAAUUAAGUCUGAUGUGAAAGCCCACGGCUUAACCGUGGAGGGUCAUUGGAAACUGGUUGACUUGAGUGCAGAAGAGGGAAGUGGAAUUCCAUGUGUAGCGGUGAAAUGCGUAGAGAUAUGGAGGAACACCAGUGGCGAAGGCGGCUUCCUGGUCUGCAACUGACACUGAGGCGCGAAAGCGUGGGGAGCAAACAGGAUUAGAUACCCUGGUA